Molecule: transfer RNA, 112 nt
Filed under: Candidatus Bathyarchaeota archaeon
Lineage: Archaea; Thermoproteati; Candidatus Bathyarchaeota
Description: tRNA-Leu
Rfam family: tRNA
About the family: Transfer RNA (tRNA) molecules are approximately 80 nucleotides in length. Their secondary structure includes four short double-helical elements and three loops (D, anti-codon, and T loops). Further hydrogen bonds mediate the characteristic L-shaped molecular structure. tRNAs have two regions of fundamental functional importance: the anti-codon, which is responsible for specific mRNA codon recognition, and the 3' end, to which the tRNAs corresponding amino acid is attached (by aminoacyl-tRNA synthetases). tRNAs cope with the degeneracy of the genetic code in two manners: having more than one tRNA (with a specific anti-codon) for a particular amino acid; and 'wobble' base-pairing, i.e. permitting non-standard base-pairing at the 3rd anti-codon position.
Source: RNAcentral
GCGGGGGUCGCCAAGUUUGGUCAAAGACGAUUCGAAAAGAACCGUUGAACGCGCAGGGCUUAGGACCCUGUCCUGUAGGGCUUCGUGGGUUCAAAUCCCACCCCCCGCACCA